UAGCCUGCGGCAGUGAAGCGAGGCUAAGUUUUCACUGCCAGGCAACUCUUCGCUAGCUACCUCUGGACUCCUACACCAAGAACUUCUCCACCUUCCACUAACCACCGUUUGUCACGAUGACACAUGUGCGCACUUCCACGCCAACACCUCCCACAGUGAAAUCGAGUAUGGGCAGGGGGGAGCGAGAGCCCGUCGAACACCGGGGGGAGCGGGAGCUCGUCAAACACGUUAACAACUGCAUGGAGAUCCUACAGGGUUUCCUGGACUUCUACGAGAUGAUGCGGCAAAAGGUCCUCUUCCCCCCAGCGGGACAAGCACCUGCUGAGCCUGGGUCGGCGUGUCAAUGAGGCGGACGCCUCCGUCAGGACUAUAACAUCUAGAACUGCUACACCUUCAACAAACCACCGCUACUGAAACGCUGACACAUGUGCGCUGACAUCCACGCGAACACCUCCAACGGUGAAAUCGUAGGCCGACAACGACUCUUCGUAUUUUAGUUUAAUAGGUUCACUUAAAUGUUCUCGGCAAAUACAUCGAUGAGUCACACAGAAGAGUUUGAGUGAAAAGACAAGCGUUUGUGCGCAGGUGUGUGUGUGUGUGUGUGUGUGUGUGUGUGUGUGUGUGUGUGUGUGUGUGUGUGUGUGUGUGAUCAAUGUGGUAAUGCUUCACACACACACAAAGUGAUAAUCUCAGACCUCGCGUAAUGUUCAAAAUAAAGUGUUAGUGAUGCC
Eriocheir sinensis (Chinese mitten crab) is the source of this 731-nucleotide long non-coding RNA. RefSeq lists it as uncharacterized. The record is from RefSeq and is a predicted model, not a curated record. The transcript has 3 exons. Lineage: Eukaryota; Metazoa; Arthropoda; Malacostraca; Decapoda; Varunidae.